AAAAAAAAAAAAAAAAAAAGAGGCCAUGGCUGCAGUUAGUGCUUUCACUCUUCUCCGGUACUCUUUCCCUUCAUUCCUUCCCUCUGCAUAAGAUGUUUGAACUUAAAUUGUGAGGCAAUAUUUGGCUAUUAUUUGUGUUUGUAAGCAGGAAUCGUGGAAUUAGUACAAGGGCAUUCUCAAAUGUGAAAUCUUCCCCAAGACCCAUCUCUUAUAUCAACUACAAAUUCCUUCUUUCUAUUCAGUCUCGCAGGUAUUCUCAUUCCUCCUCCCUUAAAAUCCCUUUUCUUUUUCUCUUUCAGAUUUUUGUACAAAUAAUCUAAUCCAUUAGAAGUAGAAUACACCAAAUAGUGGCAAGCAGUUAUGGCUGGUUUUGAAUGUUGGGAUACAUUUAUUCAAUAAAAUAUGUCAGGCAGCUCUUGUUUUGAUAGAUUAUGAGCAAUCAUCCAAGCUAGUAGAUGUUCCAUUUUAGCUUUUAGAUUACCGCAAUAUCUGUGACCCAAAUUGGCUUUUUUUUAAAUAAUUUUUUUUUAAUCAUAGUUAUGGAAUACUCCAAACUGAGAAAUUUGGGGAUUAGAGAAUUGGGAUUUUGGAUUGUUUCUGCUACUGUCAUUCUUUUUCCUUAUCCAAAUAGAAUUUGAAAGUCUAAAGUUCCAUAUGAAGUAAGGGGUUCAUUUCGUUUGCAAAUGUCAAAAGAAUUAAUAUUAGUGACUUAUUAGAUAUUACCAAAGUUUUUUCUCUUUACUAUAUGUGUUACCUAGUGUAAGGGUAGUGAGUCUCAUUUUUAUCUAUUUAUUACACUUCCCUUUUUAACAUAGCAGGAGGUAAAGGUUUUGUGGAUUAUGUUACUAUGCAAUUUUUGCUCUAAUUUGAAGUAUUUGGUCAGAGAGAAAAGUUGGCUCCUAA
Molecule: unclassified non-coding RNA, 903 nt
Filed under: Hevea brasiliensis (rubber tree)
Lineage: Eukaryota; Viridiplantae; Streptophyta; Magnoliopsida; Malpighiales; Euphorbiaceae
Source: RNAcentral